Molecule: non-coding RNA, 1259 nt
Organism: Nicotiana tabacum (common tobacco)
Lineage: Eukaryota; Viridiplantae; Streptophyta; Magnoliopsida; Solanales; Solanaceae
Source: RefSeq, a predicted model, not a curated record
CCUAGAAAAAGAAAUAAAGAAAUAGAAACACUUAAAAACAUUCCCCAAGUCGUCAUUUAGGAACUAGGGUUUACUCCCCGUCUCUCAACGUUUCUCUCAAAAUCCCCAAACCCUCAUCACUUUGACAAUCAGUUCUAGUAUUUCAUCUAAAUCUGUUCUUGAUUUUAUUGUUCAAAAUGACGAUUUCCAUCAUCAAUCUGUUCACGACUAUUCUACAGAUUAUUCAAUUUUGCUAAGUUAUUUUGGAUAAUUUUUUCCAUCACCAACUGAAGUCGGAUCUGUGCGAUUGAGUUGGCAUAUUGUGAUUCAACAAGUUAUUUUUAUGGCGAGGCCAUAUCUCUGAGCCGUUUUGUGAAGAAGAGCUCACGUGUUAUUCAUUUCAGCUUCCGCAGUGAGAUGGGAAGGAGUUGUUUCAUUGUGGUCCGAGGUGCUUCCAGGAGUAUUAGCUUGAAAUUCAUUUGAUUAUCUUUACGACUUGCUUAAGAGAUGAAGUGUUCCAAUCAUCGGUACAAUUUACUUUUGGACUGAAACUCAACCUUACACUCUAUAUCAUGUUAUAACCAUUUAGUUGAAACUUUAGUCUUCUAUUCUCUGCAUCUCCGUGUCAGACGUCACUCUGAAGUUCGCAUGUAUCUUCAUGAUAUAAUUUUAUAACAAUUUGGGAUACAUUUCUUAGGUUCUCAAAUAUGAUUUUAUUUUUGUUGUAACACUGCAACGUUUCAUGUAGUAUAUCUCAAACACUCAUCUGGUUAUGUACUCUUUUUACUUUUAUGAACAAUUUAUACCCUCUGAUAUGGGAUUAUCAACAAAUAGAGUAUUCCCGACAAGGCGUGCAUACCCAAAGCCAUUUCCUCUUUAUCUCUCACUUUUGUGUUUAGCAGCAAUAUCAAAGCUCACUGUGUGAAAGCCGUAUGCGGAAAAAGGAGUAAGUUCAGUAGUUGAAAACAAUGCCAUUUGAAGUUAGCACAACUUGAGCUGAAACUUGAGAGAGUUAGACAGCAGGUUGCGUGGCACUUACAACUUGAGGUGUAAUAUGGUCUUGAAGACUUCAGUUUACAAGUGAAGAUGUAGAUUUUGGAGAAUUCAAGUUGACAAGCUAAUUAUUAUUUGCCCAGAACUAUAGACAACAAUUUAUUUUAUUUGCAAAUGAUGUUAAUUUGUUUUCUUCCCAAAGGGUGUGUAAAUGAUACAGUACAAAUGGAAUGUUAAUCCUUUCUUUUGUUAUUUUACAAAUAUAUAUAUGAACACAUUAUUGAUAA